RNAcentral lists this long non-coding RNA (1872 nucleotides) under Jatropha curcas. RNAcentral describes it as "long non-coding RNA (JCUR_LNC002698)". Lineage: Eukaryota; Viridiplantae; Streptophyta; Magnoliopsida; Malpighiales; Euphorbiaceae. The record is from RNAcentral.
AUGGUAGGUUUCCUUUUAUUCUUAAAUAUUUUUCUUACUUCUGUUUGUUUGUUCUAGUUUACAAUAUUAGAAUAAUACAAUUGUGUUUUUCUUCCUCAGGAGAACUCUUUCUUAAAGGUUAUUGGUCAUGUAGACCUAGACCUACCAGAACCACCUGAAAAGGCACCCCGUCCUCCCCUGCAGCCAGUUGAACUAUACUCAAGAUACGGCCCAAAGGCUGAGAUAACCCACAUCUUUAGGGCACCUGAAAAGCGUCCGCCUGAGGAGCUCUCCCUUGCUUUCUUGGGUCUUACACUUGUGCCAUUCAUUGGAUUCUUAAUUGGGGUGAGUUGCAUAUUAAUAUUUGUUAGAAAUUUAUGAACAUGUGAGAUAUGUUGUUAUCUUCUUUUGAAAAGCUUAUAAUAUGCCUAGACUGGAUUGACUUCUUGGUCACUGAAAUGGUUGGAUAUCCAUGCUGUGCACAGAGCUUUUGUACAAAUAAUAUGUUUUUAUCUUUUGUUCAGUGAAUUGGUUAGUCUUUUCUAGCUUGUUUAGGACACCAAGUACUGGAUUCAUCUUGGUACAUGUCUCCAUGCGCGCAAGUGAGCUUGUUACAACAUUAAAUUUCUGGUUGAAAUUAGGUUUUAGGUUUUUGGGAUCAGGAUCUGCUAGUGUAGUAACUUGUCAUAUGACCUCAGUGUGAAAGGCCUGGAGUCUGCACCUGGUUUAUAAUAGAAAAUGAAGGUACCUUUUUUGUGUUCUAUAAUUCACCCAAAUAGGGGAGAGUUAAGAGUUCAAAGUAUCCCGGAGCCCAUUAUUUGUGCCUGUUUUUUGUUGGCAUGUGAUGUGAACCAGUUCGCUCACAAGGUGGUAAUUAGUAACAUAUGUUAACAUGCUUUUUCUUUUGGCAGCUUUUACGUCUAGGGAUAAACCUGAAGAAUUUCCCUUCUUCACCUAUACCUGCUACAUUUGCCAUCCUGUUAAUUACUUUUUCAAAUUCAACCUGCUAUCAGCAGAACUGCAUUUUAUUGGUAAAUCAAUGCAUAGAAAUCAGGGGAUGUCUUCUCUCCCCAGCAAGUGGGAUCUGAUAGUGGAUAUAUCAAGAUGAUGGUAAACUGCUGUACAGAAAGUUAAUGAACAGGGAGUUCUUGAGUACAUGUCCAAUACCUUUUUACAUUUCUUAGGGUGCAUGAUGAACAUGACUGACUCUUUAACUUCCCUUGAGGGUGAAGUUGUCAUCCAGACCCUCAUUGUUUUGUAAUAUGAUCAGGAUUUACUGACUUCCCUCCCUGUGCUUCUGUUUUGCACCAGUGUUGUUUGCUUAUCUCAGAAAAUUAAAUUUUGCAAUAUUUUUUUGAUAUUCUACAAUUUGCCUUGUAGGAUUUUCUUGGACUCGUUGAGAAAUUUUACUAUCUAUCUGGCAGAUAUGACAUUCAGUUGACUGUUGGUGAUGCAGUCAUGGUAGGUUUCCUUUUAUUCUUAAAUAUUUUUCUUACUUCUGUUUGUUUGUUCUAGUUUACAAUAUUAGAAUAAUACAAUUGUGUUUUUCUUCCUCAGGAGAACUCUUUCUUAAAGGUUAUUGGUCAUGUAGACCUAGACCUACCAGAACCACCUGAAAAGGCACCCCGUCCUCCCCUGCAGCCAGUUGAACUAUACUCAAGAUACGGCCCAAAGGCUGAGAUAACCCACAUCUUUAGGGCACCUGAAAAGCGUCCGCCUGAGGAGCUCUCCCUUGCUUUCUUGGGUCUUACACUUGUGCCAUUCAUUGGAUUCUUAAUUGGGGUGAGUUGCAUAUUAAUAUUUGUUAGAAAUUUAUGAACAUGUGAGAUAUGUUGUUAUCUUCUUUUGAAAAGCUUAUAAUAUGCCUAGACUGGAUUGACUUCUUGGUCACUG